This is a non-coding RNA of Nematostella vectensis (starlet sea anemone), 86 nucleotides long. Lineage: Eukaryota; Metazoa; Cnidaria; Anthozoa; Actiniaria; Edwardsiidae. The record is from Rfam.
CCUUCGAUAGCUCAGUUGGUAGAGCGGGGGACUGUAGAUUUAUAAUUGUGAUCCCUAGGUCGCUGGUUCGAAUCCGGCUCGAAUAA